RNAcentral lists this ribosomal RNA (505 nucleotides) under uncultured bacterium. RNAcentral's name for it is "partial 16S ribosomal RNA". It matches the Rfam family "Bacterial small subunit ribosomal RNA", at positions 28 to 507 of the family's 1533-position model. The record is from RNAcentral.
GACGAACGCUGGCGGCGUGCCUAAUACAUGCAAGUCGAACGCACAGUUUAUACCGUAGCUUGCUACACCAUAAACUGUGAGUUGCGAACGGGUGAGUAACGCGUAGGUAACCUGCCUGGUAGCGGGGGAUAACUAUUGGAAACGAUAGCUAAUACCGCAUAAUAUUGAUUAUUGCAUGAUAAUUGAUUGAAAGAUGCUAUUGCAUCACUACCAGAUGGACCUGCGUUGUAUUAGCUAGUAGGUGAGGUAACGGCUCACCUAGGCGACGAUACAUAGCCGACCUGAGAGGGUGAUCGGCCACACUGGGACUGAGACACGGCCCAGACUCCUACGGGAGGCAGCAGUAGGGAAUCUUCGGCAAUGGACGAAAGUCUGACCGAGCAACGCCGCGUGAGUGAAGAAGGUUUUCGGAUCGUAAAGCUCUGUUGUAAGAGAAGAAAGGGUGUGAGAGUGGAAAGUUCACACUGUGACGGUAUCUUACCAGAAAGGGACGGCUAACUACGUG